RNAcentral lists this unclassified non-coding RNA (201 nucleotides) under Hevea brasiliensis (rubber tree). Lineage: Eukaryota; Viridiplantae; Streptophyta; Magnoliopsida; Malpighiales; Euphorbiaceae. The record is from RNAcentral.
GAGUCAAAAUUUUUAAUGCAAUUACUUUAUAGCAGCAUUAACUGGUUUCUUCACUACAUUUCUCCAGAAACCUUAACAAAAAGCGCGUCCUGUAUACACACACAUACACAUAAACGUUUUCCUCUUCUUAAUUUUACAUUUUCUCGGUCACCAAAAUGAUAAACCAGUGUAAAUUUCAACACCCAAGAACACAAAAAUAAC